This 500-nucleotide ribosomal RNA is filed under the name uncultured bacterium. RNAcentral describes it as "partial 16S ribosomal RNA". It matches the Rfam family "Bacterial small subunit ribosomal RNA", at positions 28 to 523 of the family's 1533-position model. The record is from RNAcentral.
GAUGAACGCUGGCGGCAGGCCUAACACAUGCAAGUCGAGCGGUUGGCGGGAGCUUGCUCCCUGAUUCAGCGGCGGACGGGUGAGUAAUGCCUAGGAAUCUGCCUAUUAGUGGGGGACAACGUUUCGAAAGGAACGCUAAUACCACAUACGUCCUACGGGAGAAAGCAGGGGACCUUCGGGCCUUGCGCUAAUAGAUGAGCCUAGGUCGGAUUAGCUUGUUGGUGAGGUAAUGGCUCACCAAGGCGACGAUCCGUAACUGGUCUGAGAGGAUGAACAGUCAUACUGGAACUGAGACAGGGUCCAGACUCCUACGGGAGGCAGCAGUGGGGAGUAUUGGACAAUGGGCGAAAGCCUGAUCCAGCCAUGCCGCGUGUGUGAAGAAGGUCUUCGGAUUGUAAAGCACUUUAAGUUGGGAGGAAGGGUUGUAGAUUAAUACUCUGCAAUUUUGACGUUACCGACAGAAUAAGCACCGGCUAACUCUGUGCCAGCCGCCGCAGUAA